This 215-nucleotide ribosomal RNA is filed under the name Glomeromycotina sp. Its description in RNAcentral is "partial small subunit ribosomal RNA". The stretch from base 39 to 215 matches the Rfam family "Eukaryotic small subunit ribosomal RNA", at positions 686 to 864 of the family's 1831-position model. Lineage: Eukaryota; Fungi; Glomeromycota. The record is from RNAcentral.
GGUCAGUAGGUUGGUCGUGCCACCGGUACGUACUGGUCUCACUGAUUCCUCCUUCCUGAAGAACCGUAAUGCCAUUAAUUUGGUGUUGCGGGGAAACAGGACUGUUACUUUGAAAAAAUUAGAGUGUUUAAAGCAAGCUAACGCUCGAAUACAUUAGCAUGGAAUAAUGAAAUAGGACGAUCGAUCCUAUUUUGUUGGUUUCUAGGAUUGACGUA